Long non-coding RNA from Phragmites australis (common reed), 560 nucleotides. RefSeq lists it as uncharacterized. The transcript is spliced from 2 exons. Lineage: Eukaryota; Viridiplantae; Streptophyta; Magnoliopsida; Poales; Poaceae. The record is from RefSeq and is a predicted model, not a curated record.
UACUGAAAUGAAUCCGUCACCUGUUCCAGACGGAGGCGGGUCUCGCCGUCGUUCCAUGAGGAAGCCGCCGGCGCCCGCCGAUCUCCGACCAUGGGGUCUUUUCGAGCACUUACGGCUGUCUACGACCUUGCCGUAGUCGAUCAGCACGCUCGACCAAACCACCAUCGCGGAGCACUUUCUGCCUCCCCCGACGCCGCCGGAGCGUUUCCACACCCCCCCCCCCCCCGCAACAGCUGCCGGCAACAGCCGAAGCCCUGUAAAUUCCUCUCCUAAUCUUGAGGUCUACAAGGAUGUCCAAUCGGAUGUCGAUCAAGUUUGGCCGUUGUUAACUAGCUGUUUAAUUAACUGUUGAUGCAUAUGCAUCAGCUCUAUGAACAAUUGAAGCUUUGACAUUGAAAUGGCAACCACCGAUGUAUUGUACUCUGUUAUACUCUGUUCCACCCUCUUUUGAUGUAUUUUGUGGUUUAAAAGGGUAUUAUGUAUCAUUGCUAUCAAGUAGCAUUAUGAACAAUGUCCCACAGCAUCUUCAAUUGAUAGCUUUGUCUCCACAGUUUAGUUUA